Molecule: ribosomal RNA, 492 nt
Filed under: uncultured bacterium
Lineage: Bacteria
Description: partial 16S ribosomal RNA
Rfam family: Bacterial small subunit ribosomal RNA
Source: RNAcentral
AGUGAACGCUGGCGGUAGGCCUAACACAUGCAAGUCGAACGGCAGCACAGUAAGAGCUUGCUCUUCCGGGUGGCGAGUGGCGGACGGGUGAGGAAUACAUCGGAAUCUACUUUUUCGUGGGGGAUAACGUAGGGAAACUUACGCUAAUACCGCAUACGACCUACGGGUGAAAGCAGGGGAUCUUAGGAGCUUGCGCGAUUGCAUGAGCCGAUGUCGGAUUAGCUAGUUGGCGGGGUAAAGGCCCACCAAGGCGACGAUCCGUAGCUGGUCUGAGAGGAUGAUCAGCCACACUGGAACUGAGACACGGUCCAGACUCCUACGGGAGGCAGCAGUGGGGAAUAUUGGACAAUGGGCGCAAGCCUGAUGCAGCCAUACCGCGUGGGUGAAGAAGGCUUUCGGGUUGUAAAGCCCUUUUGUUGGGAAAGAAAAGCAGCAGGUUAAUACCCUGCUGUUCUGACGGUACCCAAAGAAUAAGCACCGGCUAACUACGUG